RNAcentral lists this ribosomal RNA (429 nucleotides) under Chloroflexota bacterium. Its description in RNAcentral is "Chloroflexi bacterium partial 16S ribosomal RNA". It matches the Rfam family "Bacterial small subunit ribosomal RNA", at positions 355 to 776 of the family's 1533-position model. The record is from RNAcentral. Lineage: Bacteria; Bacillati; Chloroflexota.
UGGGGAAUAUUGCACAAUGGGCGCAAGCCUGAUGCAGCCAUGCCGCGCGUAUGAAGAAGGCCUUCGGGUUGUAAAGUACUUUCAGUCGGGAGGAAGGUGGUAAGGUUAAUAACCUUAUCAUUUGACGUUACCGCCAGAAGAAGCACCGGCUAACUCCGUGCCAGCAGCCGCGGUAAUACGGAGGGUGCAAGCGUUAAUCGGAAUUACUGGGCGUAAAGCGCACGCAGGCGGUUGAUUGAGUCAGAUGUGAAAUCCCCGGGCUUAACCCGGGAAUUGCAUCUGAGACUGGUCAGCGAGAGUCUUGUAGAGGGGGGUAGAAUUCCAUGUGUAGCGGUGAAAUGCGUAGAGAUGUGGAGGAAUACCGGUGGCGAAGGCGGGCCCCUGGACAAAGACUGACGCUCAGGUGCGAAAGCGUGGGGAGCAAACAGG